GACGAACGCUGGCGGCGUGCCUAAUACAUGCAAGUUGAGCGCUGAAGGUUGGUACUUGUACCAACUGGAUGAGCAGCGAACGGGUGAGUAACGCGUGGGGAAUCUGCCUUUGAGCGGGGGACAACAUUUGGAAACGAAUGCUAAUACCGCAUAAAAACUUUAAACACAAGUUUUAAGUUUGAAAGAUGCAAUUGCAUCACUCAAAGAUGGUCCCGCGUUGUAUUAGCUAGUUGGUGAGGUAAAGGCUCACCAAGGCGAUGAUACAUAGCCGACCUGAGAGGGUGAUCGGCCACAUUGGGACUGAGACACGGCCCAAACUCCUACGGGAGGCAGCAGUAGGGAAUCUUCGGCAAUGGACGAAAGUCUGACCGAGCAACGCCGCGUGAGUGAAGAAGGUUUUCGGAUCGUAAAACUCUGUUGGUAGAGAAGAACGUUGGUGAGAGUGGAAAGCUCAUCAAGUGACGGUAACUACCCAGAAAGGGACGGCUAACUACGUG
Molecule: ribosomal RNA, 497 nt
Filed under: uncultured bacterium
Lineage: Bacteria
Description: partial 16S ribosomal RNA
Rfam family: Bacterial small subunit ribosomal RNA
Source: RNAcentral